Molecule: ribosomal RNA, 253 nt
Filed under: uncultured bacterium
Lineage: Bacteria
Description: partial 16S ribosomal RNA
Rfam family: Bacterial small subunit ribosomal RNA
Source: RNAcentral
UACAGAGGGGGCAAGCGUUGUUCGGAAUUACUGGGCGUAAAGCGCGCGUAGGCGGCUUUGCAAGUCGGGUGUGAAAUCCCCAGGCUUAACCUGGGAACUGCAUUCGAGACUGCAUUGCUAGAGUAUGGGAGAGGGAAGUGGAAUUUCCGGUGUAGCGGUGAAAUGCGUAGAUAUCGGAAGGAACAUCAGUGGCGAAAGCGACUUCCUGGACCAAUACUGACGCUCAUGUGCGAAAGCGUGGGGAGCAAACAGG